UCUGGUUGAUCCUGCCGGAGGCUACCGCUAUUGGAGUUCGAUUAAGCCAUGCGAGUCGAGAGUCUUAGGGACUCGGCGUACCGCUCAGUAACACGUGGGUAACCUGCCCUAUGCUGGGGAAUAACCUCGGGAAACUGAGAAUAAUGCCCCAUAGUCCACAAUGCCUGGAACGGUUUGUGGAUUAAAGCCCCGGCGGCAUAGGAUGGGCCUGCGGCGUAUCAGGUUGUAGGGGGUGUAACGUACCCUCUAGCCAUCAACGCGUACGGGUGUUGGGAGACAUAGCCCGGAGAUGGAUUCUGAGACACGAAUCCAGACCCUACGGGGUGCAGCAGGCGCGAAAACUUGGCAAUGCGAGAAAUCGUGACCAGGGAACUCCAAGUGGCUGGGGUAAGACCCAGUCUUUUCUUGACUCUUCAAAGGUCUUGGAAUAAGAGGUGGGUAAGGACGGUGCCAGCCGCCGCGGUAAUACCGGCGCCUCAAGUGGUAGUCGAUUUUAUUGGGCCUAAAACGUCCGUAGCCUGUUUGGUACAUUCGUGGGUAAAUCAACCAGCUCAACUGGUUGAAUUCUGCGAGCACGGCCAGACUUGGGACCGGGAGAGGUGUGGGGUACGCUCAGGGUAGGGGUAAAAUCCUGUCAUCCUGAGCGGACCACCUGUUGCGAAGGCGCCACACUAGAACGGAUCCGACGGUCAGGGACGAAGCCUAGGGGCACGAACCGGAUUAGAUACCCGGGUAGUCCUAGGUGUAAACGCUGUGGACUUGGU
This 764-nucleotide ribosomal RNA is filed under the name uncultured Candidatus Poseidoniales archaeon. RNAcentral's name for it is "bacterial SSU rRNA". It matches the Rfam family "Archaeal small subunit ribosomal RNA", at positions 1 to 772 of the family's 1478-position model. Lineage: Archaea; Methanobacteriati; Thermoplasmatota; Candidatus Poseidoniia; Candidatus Poseidoniales. The record is from RNAcentral.